Molecule: unclassified non-coding RNA, 384 nt
Filed under: uncultured fungus
Lineage: Eukaryota; Fungi
Description: sequence contains ITS1
Source: RNAcentral
UUAAUUGUUAUAUAGUACUCUGACAAUAAAUUACAGAAGUUUUAGGGUCCUCUGGCAGGCACUGACCAGCAAUAGCCAGUAGUCUAAUGGCAGGCCUGCCAAAGCAACAAAGGUAUUGUAAACAAAGGGUGGGAGAUAUACCCUGAAGGGCAUUUUCUCUUUAAUGAUCCUUCCGCAGCGGAAGUAUAGCUGCUACUUAUAGCAACCUCCCGAUCAACUCUUAACCCAUAAAGGGCCACCUCCAUUUGACCUGUGAGCCUAUUUCUAGGCUGCUGGUAUUACACAAUAAAGCAGUAAAGUGAAAAUCCUAGCACAGUAGAGAUGUUGCCUGUUAAACAGACUUGAUUUUGGCGAACCUGCAUAAAAACCGUUCACCUACGGAAA